Molecule: ribosomal RNA, 429 nt
Filed under: Chloroflexota bacterium
Lineage: Bacteria; Bacillati; Chloroflexota
Description: Chloroflexi bacterium partial 16S ribosomal RNA
Rfam family: Bacterial small subunit ribosomal RNA
Source: RNAcentral
UAGGGAAUCUUCGGCAAUGGACGAAAGUCUGACCGAGCAACGCCGCGUGAGUGAAGAAGGUUUUCGGAUCGUAAAACUCUGUUGUUAGAGAAGAACAAGGACGUUAGUAACUGAACGUCCCCUGACGGUAUCUAACCAGAAAGCCACGGCUAACUACGUGCCAGCAGCCGCGGUAAUACGUAGGUGGCAAGCGUUGUCCGGAUUUAUUGGGCGUAAAGCGAGCGCAGGCGGUUUCUUAAGUCUGAUGUGAAAGCCCCCGGCUCAACCGGGGAGGGUCAUUGGAAACUGGGAGACUUGAGUGCAGAAGAGGAGAGUGGAAUUCAAUGUGUAGCGGUGAAAUGCGUAGAUAUAUGGAGGGACACCAGUGGCGAAGGCGGCUCUCUGGUCUGUAACUGACGCUGAGGCUCGAAAGCGUGGGGAGCAAACAGG